This 2837-nucleotide long non-coding RNA is filed under the name Olea europaea (common olive). RNAcentral's name for it is "long non-coding RNA (OEUR_LNC003523)". Lineage: Eukaryota; Viridiplantae; Streptophyta; Magnoliopsida; Lamiales; Oleaceae. The record is from RNAcentral.
GUUACGUUUCCACUGCUGUAACUGCUCCUUCGCCAUUAACCAAGGAGCACUAUCAUUGCCAUCAUGCCCUUCACUAUCACUUCUAGACUCCUGAUUAGUAAAAUCAUCGUCUUCCAACAACGAUGAAUAUUUAUUAUCCAGGGGCUUACACAAGCCAAAGUCAGAAAGCUUUAAAUGGCCAUUUUUGUCCAAUAUUAGGUUGUCUGGUUUGAUGUCCCUACAAUAAGCACCAAUUUGAUAGCACUAAGGUUGUAGAAAUAUAUAUAAGAACAACAUGCACAUAUAAAUAAGCAAAAGUUGGUGCAUUAAAAGUAUGGCUAAUGCUUGAAAUAACAGGUUCGAUGACAACAUUUCUGUAGGAAAAGGCCUAUCUAUCUAGUUCCAUUUGAUUGACUUUUGACUCUGCUAUCAAACAGGGAAAGAAGAACGAGCAAAUCAUACAAAUACUUAGGAUAAAAUGAUGAAUUACAUUGAUACCUAUGGACAUAACCGUGCUGGUGAAUCGAAUGAAUCGCUAGAAUGCUUUCUGCAAUGUAGAACCGUGCAACAUCUUCGGAAAGGGUAUCCUCUCUCAUAAGUAAAGUCAUAAUAUCACCACCAGGCAAGUAUUCCAUAAUAAGGUAUAAAAAAUCAGAAUCUUGGAAAGAAUAAAAAAGCUUCACUAUGCAACGACUAUCCACCUCCACAAGCAAAUUCCUCUCAGAUCGGACAUUAUUGAAGUGAUUAAGAAAUCCCUCACAGACAAGAUUUAAAUGAUUUUCACAAUUACAAGUAAUCUUUGAGAGAUUUCUUUAACCAUUCCUUGAAAUUCAAGUACAAAAGCUAACGAUAUUAACAUACUUCCGCAAACUUUUCAAAAUUCUGUGUGUCUAACUCUCCAGUUACUGUAGGUUUGUAGGCAGGUUCCAUUUCAUAAAGGGUAUCCCAGUUAACGCCUGUAAACCACGGAUGUGCCUGGAAUUGAAAACAAGGUAAUGCUAAUCACAAAGAAAACUAGUCUUUUUGUAGAAAUUCCUCUUGUACAAUCACUAAUACUAUAAAUAUAAAGUUUAUCCAAGUUCCUGAAAAUAAUAUUUUUUCUACCUUUGUCUGUGUAUGGACAUAUAUGUCAUUCAUUUUACCUUUAUUUCGUCCACUCCUCUGGUCCCCAACCUUCUUUCAACAUCACAUAACAAAUGACAGAUCAGAUCCUUGGCCUCAACUGAGAUUUUUGGUUCUUCAGGGAAUUUCAAGCAUGUUUUCCAAUUGAUAAUCUGAUACAAGAAAGAAGCAUGAUAUAUCUUGCAAAAAACGAGGGAUAUUUUUGAAAUAGUAAAAAUAAUGAUUAGCGCAAGUGUGAAAAGAUUAUAUUUAACAUUGCUACAUCAACUAUGUGUAAAUGGGUACGAAUUAUGAUUAAAAAUACUGAAAUUAUUGACGAUUCCCAUGGAGAUCUCAUUUGAGAAGAACCAGCAAAAAAAUUUCAUUCUGCAAAACUUUUCAUACUUUGCAAAUUCUUGCAUCGUCAAGAAGUUUGAACAAUCACAAACUGACAAGUAUUACAAUACCUUGCGGCAUGUCAUUCUAGGAUCGUCAGAGCAAAAGGGAGGAUAGCCUAUGAGCAUUUCAUACAUGAUUGCCCCCAGUGACCACCAGUCACACUCCAUUCCAUAUCCUUUCUUCAAUAAAACUUCAGGUGCCAUAUAAUCAAGAGUUCCAACAGUCGAAUAUGCCUGCAAAAGUUACCAUUCAGCUAAUGCUUUUUCCCCAAUCUUCUUUAAGUAUAUCAGUAUAAAAUAAAUGCAUAAAUUACAUUUGUGGUCACUAAAUUUGUACUAAAAUUUCAUGCUAAGCUUUUGUUUCUAGUGAACUUAAACUUUGUUUCAAGUUGUACGCUUCGUCCAUUUCUAAUAGUCCAACAGAUAUGCUGACGUGACACUCUAGUUUUUCCCAAGUAGCUGCCAACUAGAUUUUCAUGUUAGCUUUUCUAUUAGUCAAACCGGACGAUAUGGAUGGAAUGACCUCAUUGUGAAAAGAGCUGAAGUUUACUUGAAACAAAAUUUAAGUUCAGUAAUCAAUUUGAAACAAAAUAUAACGACCAAAGUGAAAUUUCACGAAAAGUUCAGAGUCCACUUUCAUUUUUAACCCGCUUACAAUAGUGAAAGCGAAAAUUGUCGGACCAACAUACUAUUCCAACUAAGCAACAAAAUGAGUAUAAAAGAAUACCAAGGCACGACGGUUACGUUUCCACUGCUGUAACUGCUCCUUCGCCAUUAACCAAGGAGCACUAUCAUUGCCAUCAUGCCCUUCACUAUCACUUCUAGACUCCUGAUUAGUAAAAUCAUCGUCUUCCAACAACGAUGAAUAUUUAUUAUCCAGGGGCUUACACAAGCCAAAGUCAGAAAGCUUUAAAUGGCCAUUUUUGUCCAAUAUUAGGUUGUCUGGUUUGAUGUCCCUACAAUAAGCACCAAUUUGAUAGCACUAAGGUUGUAGAAAUAUAUAUAAGAACAACAUGCACAUAUAAAUAAGCAAAAGUUGGUGCAUUAAAAGUAUGGCUAAUGCUUGAAAUAACAGGUUCGAUGACAACAUUUCUGUAGGAAAAGGCCUAUCUAUCUAGUUCCAUUUGAUUGACUUUUGACUCUGCUAUCAAACAGGGAAAGAAGAACGAGAAAAUCAUACAAAUACUUAGGAUAAAAUGAUGAAUUACAUUGAUACCUAUGGACAUAACCGUGCUGGUGAAUCGAAUGAAUCGCUAGAAUGCUUUCUGCAAUGUAGAACCGUGCAACAUCUUCGGAAAGGGUAUCCUCUCUCAUAAGUAAAGUCAUAAUAUCACCACCAGGCAAGUAUUCCAUAAUAAG